AACUAACAAGGAUUCCCCUAGUAACGGCGAGUGAAGCGGGAAAAGCUCAAAUUUAAAAUCUGGCUGUCUUAGAUAGUCCGAGUUGUAAUCUGGAGAAGUGUUUUCUGCGCUGGACCGUGUACAAGUCUCUUGGAAUAGAGCGUCAUAGAGGGUGAGAAUCCCGUCUUUGACACGGACUGCCAGGGCUAUAUGAUACACUCUCGAAGAGUCGAGUUGUUUGGGAAUGCAGCUCAAAAUGGGUGGUAAAUUCCAUCUAAAGCUAAAUAUAGGCGAGAGACCGAUAGCGAACAAGUACCGUGAGGGAAAGAUGAAAAGCACUUUGGAAAGAGAGUUAAACAGUACGUGAAAUUGCUGAAAGGGAAACGCUUGAAGUCAGUCGCGUUAGUUGAGACUCAGCCUUGCUUUUGCUUGGUGCAUUUCUUAGCUGACGGGUCAACAUCAAUUUUGGCCGUUGGAAAAAGAUUGGGGGAAUGUGGCUCCUCCGGGAGUGUUAUAGCCCUUAGUUGUAUACAACGGCUGGGAUUGAGGACCGCAGUGCGCCUUUAUGGUCGGGGCUUGCCCUCGUUCGCACUUAGGAUGUUGGCAUAAUGGCUUUAAGCGACCCGUCUUGAAACACGGACCAAGGAGUCUAACAUGCAUGCGAGUGUUUGGGUGGAAAACUCGAGCGCGUAAUGAAAGUGAAAGUUGAGACCUCUGUCGUGGAGGGCAUCGACGCCCGGACCAGAUGUUUACUGACGGAUCUGCGGUUGAGCAUGUAUGUUGGGACCCGAAAGAUGGUGAACUAUGCCUGAAUAGGGCGAAGCCAGAGGAAACUCUGGUGGAGGCUCGUAGCGAUUCUGACGUGCAAAUCGAUCGUCAAAUUUGGGUAUAGGGGCGAAAGACUAAUCGAACCA
This 893-nucleotide ribosomal RNA is filed under the name Xenasmataceae sp. Its description in RNAcentral is "partial large subunit ribosomal RNA". It matches the Rfam family "Eukaryotic large subunit ribosomal RNA", at positions 63 to 942 of the family's 3401-position model. The record is from RNAcentral. Lineage: Eukaryota; Fungi; Basidiomycota; Agaricomycetes; Russulales; Xenasmataceae.